GGGAAUAUAGCUCAGUUGGUAAGAGUGCUUACUUUGCAUGCAAAAGACCCUGGGUUCAAUCCCCUGUACCACCA
RNAcentral lists this transfer RNA (74 nucleotides) under Ictidomys tridecemlineatus (thirteen-lined ground squirrel). RNAcentral's name for it is "Spermophilus tridecemlineatus (thirteen-lined ground squirrel) tRNA". It matches the Rfam family "tRNA". From Rfam's summary of the family: Transfer RNA (tRNA) molecules are approximately 80 nucleotides in length. Their secondary structure includes four short double-helical elements and three loops (D, anti-codon, and T loops). Lineage: Eukaryota; Metazoa; Chordata; Mammalia; Rodentia; Sciuridae. The record is from Rfam by way of RNAcentral.